UUUGCACCUGCAAAGUGCAAAUUUAGCAGGACCCUCUCUAGACUCUGGUGCUGAAGUGCGAACCGGACACAUUCAACUGUACUUAACGCGGUGAGAGCUAUUCAGUCUUUUCUGCUCCACAGACAGACUCUUACCUCCUUUCCAAAAUGGGACCCUCCUGAUCUGCACUGCCAGGCAUCUUCAAGCAUUUAGACUUUGCACCUGUGCAGAGAAAAAAGUACAUAUUAGUGAAACCAAAUGUCACUGGCAGUCAACUGGCACUGAUUUAAUCACAUCUCUGAGAAAGUUUGCAUCAUUUAACAAUUUUGCACAUUAUUUGCUUUUUGUAAAUGGCCAGAUUAAUUCAAGAUGAAGUUCUUUUUCUUUACUAUUCCUUUGGCUGCUUUCCACCUGCUGUCUCUGUUUGGUGCCAGUGCUUUUCAGAUCAGUGAUGAUAUUAAUUAUUCACCAGCUUCUCUUCACUGCACACCUAGAUUGACUGAAAUAUCUACAAUUUAAGAGCUUGUCAUUUGUCACAAGUGAAACCUUUGAGCAGUUUUCUAAAUAAUGCUCCUGUGGGGGGAAAAAAGUUAAGCUGACGUCCAAAAAAUGUCAAGAGAGGUUCUUACGGGCUUUACAUUUACAUAAACACACACUCUGCUCCUUUCUCUGUUUGUCUUUCAGUGUCUUUCACUCGUCCACCCACAAAGCCGUCGCGUUUGAGCCCAUCAAAGGUGGUCUCUCCCUCGCUGAUUUUCAGAGGUCAGGGGCGUGAUGUCCAUCCACAACUCCUGGUUUCACAAAAGCACAUGCAAGAAUUGCGUUUGGACAAUCAGCUCCGGACCUCCAUCCUUUCUUGGUCAUUGGCAGGUAACCAAAUAUCCGACUCAGUAUAAAGGACAUGAAGUUGUUUCUAACUUGGCAGCUCACACAGCUCACUUUGUCCCAGCAGCUCCCUCACCUUCACAAAAUGCAGUCAGAAAACUUAUCAGCUGAAGUGCUGUCUCUCCUACUGCCUGCGUGAGAGAAAGGACAAUACUUUGACCCGAUGAUGUCUGAAGUUCAUGUGUAAAAAUGCCUUAAACUACUUUUUUUCUCCACGUUCCCAUGAAAAAGAUUUUAAAAUGAAAGUUUGGAAUGUGAAAAAUAUCAAAUGUUUGAUUUCAUAGAUUAAAGUCACAGUUAACACAUUUUAAGUAACACCUAAAAACACCUAUGUGAGACUGAGGCCUUUACCAUAGUUUUUAUUACUAUUUAUCUUUUAAAAGUGAGACUGUAGGCUAUGACAACAAAAGGUGUCUGAUAAUAAAGCUGGUAAUGAUAAAAUGAGAGCUACACCACGACGGAUACACUAAUACUGUUAUUAAAACUGGAUCAUGUUCAUAACCAGGGACAAAAAUGCAUUAGACUAGUUUCAGUACAGACACGAAGGAAAAAGUUUGCAUGAGUUGAGAUGCUUUUGUAGUUGUGGCUCUUUUAAAAACACACUGUUGCUCUCCUGGCCUUCAACCCAGUGUGAGCUGUCUGUGAUCUUAUGUUACUUUUAUGUACUCGUUUAUUGUUUAACUUCUACAAGUAAAACAUUGUACAGCUAACUAAUCAGUUGUUCUUGCAAAAUAUACCCACUCACGUACCUGCCAGACUGAAUGAUGUGAACAUACAGUCUACAGGUCAGAACUGG
RNAcentral lists this long non-coding RNA (1660 nucleotides) under Oreochromis niloticus (Nile tilapia). RNAcentral's name for it is "lncRNA (ENSONIG00000031945.1)". The record is from RNAcentral. Lineage: Eukaryota; Metazoa; Chordata; Actinopteri; Cichliformes; Cichlidae.